This 405-nucleotide ribosomal RNA is filed under the name uncultured prokaryote. RNAcentral's name for it is "partial 16S ribosomal RNA". The record is from RNAcentral.
CCCUAUGGGGUGCACCAGGCAGGUGAUUUUACGUUCCAACAAGUGCGAGAGGACUGCCCGUGCCAGGGCUGAACCUUCUUGGGGAUCUGUGCCAGCGCCCAGUUCAUCCAGCAGCACCAGCGAGCGGUGAUCUGCGCGUUUUAAGAUUUGCACCAACUGGGUGAUGUACCCUGAAAAGGUCGAAAGAGAUUGCUCGAUGGACUGCUCAUCGCCAAUAUCAGCAAAUACAUCCUGAAAAAGGCUUAAACGUGAACCGGAUAAAGCCGGAAUUUGCAAACCCGAUUGUGCCAGCAACACCAGCAGCCCCACCGUUUUACGGGUGACGGUUUUCCCGCCAGUGUUGGGUCCGGUCAACACCACUGCAAAGGUUUCCUGAUCCAGCUCGAUAUCAAUUGGCGGGGGGGC